RNAcentral lists this ribosomal RNA (271 nucleotides) under uncultured archaeon. RNAcentral's name for it is "partial 16S ribosomal RNA". It matches the Rfam family "Archaeal small subunit ribosomal RNA", at positions 477 to 747 of the family's 1478-position model. The record is from RNAcentral.
CAGCGCCUCAAGUGGCAGCCGCGUUUAUUGGGCCUAAAGCGUUCGUAGCCGGUUAGGAAGAUCUUUUGUGAAAUCGUCAAGCUCAACUUGACACCGUGCAGAAGACACUACUUAACUAGGAACCGGGAGGAGUCAGAAGUAUUCCGGGGGGAGCGGUAAAAUGUUAUAAUCCUCGGAGGACUACCUGUGGCGAAGGCGUCUGACCAGAACGGAUUCGACGGUGAGGAACGAAAGCUAGGGGAGCAAAACGGAUUAGAGACCCGAGUAGUCC